AGAUAAGCUCUCUACUCCAUGGUGGUCAAAACAGCUGGCCUUUGGUAAUGGAGCUUAGCGUGUUUCAGUUUGAGGACUUCGCAUCUUGUCUAAAAUCGUCUAGACCAAACACCAUAGUUCUAUCUGGGCUUAGUGGCAGUGGCAAAACCACUAUUUACUACCAGAUCAUUUGGCAUUUUUACCAGGAGGAUACAAGAAGUUGGAGUGGUUAUCUGAAGGCUUUUGAACUGCUUGAAGCAUUAGUGUAGCUUUGGUGCUUUUGUGACUGAUCAGCUCUAGAGCAGCUAGA
Molecule: long non-coding RNA, 289 nt
Organism: Zea mays
Lineage: Eukaryota; Viridiplantae; Streptophyta; Magnoliopsida; Poales; Poaceae
Exons: 3
Source: RefSeq, a predicted model, not a curated record